AACGAACGCUGGCGGCAUGCCUAACACAUGCAAGUCGAACGAGACCUUCGGGUCUAGUGGCGCACGGGUGCGUAACGCGUGGGAACCUGCCCUUAGGUUCGGAAUAACUCCCCGAAAGGGGUGCUAAUACCGGAUAAUGUCUUCGGACCAAAGAUUUAUCGCCUUUGGAUGGGCCCGCGUUGGAUUAGCUAGUUGGUAGGGUAAAAGCCUACCAAGGCGACGAUCCAUAGCUGGUCUGAGAGGAUGAUCAGCCACACUGGGACUGAGACACGGCCCAGACUCCUACGGGAGGCAGCAGUGGGGAAUAUUGGACAAUGGGCGAAAGCCUGAUCCAGCAAUGCCGCGUGAGUGAUGAAGGCCUUAGGGUUGUAAAGCUCUUUUACCCGGGAUGAUAAUGACAGUACCGGGAGAAUAAGCCCCGGCUAACUACGUG
This 433-nucleotide ribosomal RNA is filed under the name uncultured bacterium. Its description in RNAcentral is "partial 16S ribosomal RNA". It matches the Rfam family "Bacterial small subunit ribosomal RNA", at positions 29 to 507 of the family's 1533-position model. The record is from RNAcentral.